Molecule: long non-coding RNA, 1673 nt
Filed under: Amphibalanus amphitrite
Lineage: Eukaryota; Metazoa; Arthropoda; Thecostraca; Balanomorpha; Balanidae
Description: uncharacterized LOC122375098
Source: RNAcentral
CAUUACCGUCAUUACGAAAAUCGUCGGUUUCAGUUUAGAAUGACGGAUACGUUGUCAGAAAAAUAUUCAUCUUGGGCCAAAGCAGGUAACAAAACUGAAAGACGAGUCUGUGGAUCGUGACUAUCCAAAGUUUCCACACUAUGCCGAUAGGUGGCAGGGUUAUCGUGUCGCGCGAUCACGUGACUGACCGCCCCGGGGCAAUGCGGCUGGCCAUUCGGGUUGCGGCGCGGGUCAGGGGCGGACGUGGGGCUAUUGUUCCGUGGUGUGGGAAUGCUAGCUUUCAAUCAGUUUAAGCAGAUUGAAAGAGAAAAUGUUCUUGGUGAUCGUUAAGAGAUGGUCAGGACUCAGGACAGACCGUUGGUGGUUUUUGUCGCGGUCUGCUCCCCACAACUGUCGCUGAAAGGACUAACAAGUGUGAAACGAAACCGGUACGUUUCCGUCCGACCGACAGCGCCUCUGAUUGGUACGCACUACGCAAUCUUUAAAAUCUUACGCAUCUGAAGAGAAGGAAAUCCAGUAUACAGGUCCGGUCGUAUCAACCUCGUCCGCGGUCCGGCUGCCGGCUGGUUCUACGCUGUGGUUCCUCGAGGAAGACACCAACGCAAAACCGACAGUUUAUCCGGUGUUCCGCAGGCUUCUGCGUCAAACUGAGCUAGCAAGGCUGGCUACAUGGGCAGAGCGGCAGCUCACAGAGCAACCUACAGAACGAGGCGGAGCGCUCGCCGCUGCAGAUGGCGCCACCGGGGCUGGCGAGCGACCUCAAGCAGCUGGCGCCGCCCUCGGUGGAGCUCACCGCUGGCACAGAUGGCAGCACCGUCGACUGGUCACCGGCGUCGGUGUUUCUCGAGCCGCUGAACCGCCCGGCCUGCACUGUCUAUCACAUUCACGCCCAUCUAUCAUAAGUUAUUAGUGCCCUCGGCGGAGCCCACCGGUAACAUAGAUGGCAGCACCAUCGCUAGAAGACCUCGACGGGCGUGGCGGUCCUUGUGAAAUGUGAACUAUAUAAUAUAGUGUAGUGAGCAUCACGAGCGUGCUACUUACCAGCAUACUGCCCGACUCACUUCUCUACCAGCUCAGUACCCAGUACUACUGUCUGUCAGUUCCGAGGAUUAAUAAGAACUCGGAGCUUUGACGUGAUCGCCGUUUUUGUCACAAAUCUGAUGUCGUGAAGAUGAUUGGCGAUACUUGAUGAUGCUGUGCCGAUCUCAAGCGAUAUUGUAUUGUCGUUCACUAUUCCCUUUUAGCUCGAGGGAGAGGAUAUUGAGUUGAAAUGGUGGGUAUGACAUGAGGCAAGGGCCUCAUAUAUACUGUAAAGUGAAUUCAUAGGCAUCGAAGGAUGCGCAGCGCAGUUGUUCGCUUAUUUGAUCCCAGUUUGUGUCACUGGCAGUGCAUUUCGAGCAUAUGACGCGAUGCAUCAUGUGCUACGCGAUAAGGGCAUGUUCGAUAUUGCUAUCUGCCGAGUUUGUUAUCAGUCCGUACUCUAAGCGUGUUGUUAUGUUGGUUGUGUGAAUGUGGCAUGAAUAUGGUUUCGGGGCACGCGCUGAUAUGUCCAGUCAGUUCCCGAGAACAGAUUCAGUGAGCGCUGACCGCAACUAGAUACUCGUAGCGCAGGCAUCGAAGUCGUCUGUCUCAUCUCAUCACCUGUCGCUGUCAUAUAGAAACCGUCGUGCUCG